RNAcentral lists this transfer RNA (72 nucleotides) under Pseudo-nitzschia cuspidata. Its description in RNAcentral is "tRNA-Asn". It matches the Rfam family "tRNA". Rfam says of the family: Transfer RNA (tRNA) molecules are approximately 80 nucleotides in length. Their secondary structure includes four short double-helical elements and three loops (D, anti-codon, and T loops). The record is from RNAcentral. Lineage: Eukaryota; Bacillariophyta; Bacillariophyceae; Bacillariales; Bacillariaceae.
UUUUCAGUAGCUCAGUGGUAGAGCGAGUGGCUGUUAACCACCAGGACGUUGGUUCGAACCCAACCUGAAGAG